GAUGAACGCUAGCGACAGGCUUAACACAUGCAAGUCGAGGGGCAGCGGGGGAGCAGCAAUGCUCCCGCCGGCGACCGGCGCACGGGUGAGUAACACGUAUGGAACCUGCCCGCAGCAGGGGGAUAAGCGGAAGAAAUUCCGUCUAAUACCGCGUAACACCGCGGAGGGGCAUCCCUCCUCGGUUAAAGAUUCAUCGGCUGCGGAUGGCCAUGCGGCGCAGUAGCUAGUCGGCGGGGUAACGGCCCACCGAGGCGACGAUGCGUAGGGGUUCUGAGAGGAAGGUCCCCCACACUGGUACUGAGACACGGACCAG
This 313-nucleotide ribosomal RNA is filed under the name uncultured bacterium. RNAcentral's name for it is "bacterial SSU rRNA". It matches the Rfam family "Bacterial small subunit ribosomal RNA", at positions 28 to 334 of the family's 1533-position model. The record is from RNAcentral.